This 455-nucleotide ribosomal RNA is filed under the name Clasis sp. CNC 422339. Its description in RNAcentral is "partial 28S ribosomal RNA". Lineage: Eukaryota; Metazoa; Arthropoda; Insecta; Hymenoptera; Ichneumonidae. The record is from RNAcentral.
CCUGAGAAACCCGAAAGAUCGAAUGGGGAGAUUCAUCGUCAGCGAUCCUGGUGCGUGUGCGGUUCGCGAUUCCGGGGACUUCGGUCUCAUGGCACGCGUCCRCAUGUUUUUUAUUGCCAGGUAUCGUCGGCGUGCACUUCUCCCCUAGUAGGACGUCGCGACCCGUUGGGUGUCGGUCUACGGCCCGGGUGGACGCCUGUCUCGUGUGCGCUUCACGGCGUUACGCGGGUCAGACCCCCGGUUGCCUGGCCGGCUGCCCGGCGGUACUCGCACGGUAUCUGGCCGCAAUUAUUUGAACUGCGUCCGGCCCGUCGCAAGCGAGGCAAGUGUUUUCCCGGAUGUACGGAUCUAAUGCCGUCACCGGGCCUUGCCAGCUGUUGGUUGACGGUGUCCUAGGACUGGCUAUUGCAAUUAUGAUACCGGUCGGCGACGCUACUGCUUUGGGACUUUCAGGA